CGAGUGUCCUGGCGCGGUCAUUUCAAACCAAGAUGGCGGCAAUUUUUCGUUAAUUUAACGUUGUGUUUUAGAACUGGUUUUAGAUCAUUUAGAUGGCAUGUUAAGAACCAUGCUAGUUUUGGUCUGAUCACAGUGAUCAGUAAGGUGAAAAGAAGAAAAUGUUUCACCAAACUUCGUAAGUAGUGCGCAGUUUAAAAAUUAAGACUGUUGAAAUGAUAUAAAUAUUAAAUAUUAAAAUGUAGAUUUCUACAGUAGAAAUAGUGUUGUGUUGUAGAAACUUUGGAAGCUGGUCAACUCGGCCCAGUGACCAACUCAGCCCAUACCAUCUUGGCCCAAUUGUUAACUACUGUUUGACAUAUUAGGAAAGCUAAUAUUUUACAGAAGAUAGCA
Molecule: non-coding RNA, 390 nt
Organism: Paramuricea clavata
Lineage: Eukaryota; Metazoa; Cnidaria; Anthozoa; Malacalcyonacea; Plexauridae
Source: the annotation of a GenBank genome assembly